RNAcentral lists this non-coding RNA (181 nucleotides) under Bacillota bacterium. RNAcentral's name for it is "6S RNA". It matches the Rfam family "6S / SsrS RNA". Rfam says of the family: E. coli 6S RNA was the first non coding RNA to be sequenced, but its function was unknown until recently. It consists of 184 nucleotides that fold into an extended hairpin structure with a large single-stranded internal bulge. Lineage: Bacteria; Bacillati; Bacillota. The record is from RNAcentral.
AAUUGUCUAGAAGAUUGGACUGUUUACUUUUAAAACCGACUAAGUAACGAUACGGGAGUUCGGAUCAUUAACUGGUGUUGAAUGCUAAGAUUUAUCUUAGAAUCCUAAAGGUUAAGUAUGGACACCCACCUGCUGGUAUAGGGCGGGUUUUAUCGUUAGACAUCCACCUUUUGGACAGAAU